Molecule: ribosomal RNA, 56 nt
Filed under: Schistosoma curassoni
Lineage: Eukaryota; Metazoa; Platyhelminthes; Trematoda; Strigeidida; Schistosomatidae
Description: 5.8S ribosomal RNA
Rfam family: 5.8S ribosomal RNA
About the family: 5.8S ribosomal RNA (5.8S rRNA) is a component of the large subunit of the eukaryotic ribosome.
Source: Rfam by way of RNAcentral
AACUUUGAGCGGUGGAUCACUCGGCUCGUGUGUCGAUGAAGAGUGCAGCCAACUGU